RNAcentral lists this long non-coding RNA (949 nucleotides) under Phoenix dactylifera (date palm). RNAcentral describes it as "long non-coding RNA (PDAC_LNC007998)". The record is from RNAcentral. Lineage: Eukaryota; Viridiplantae; Streptophyta; Magnoliopsida; Arecales; Arecaceae.
UGCAGUAGUAUGACUAGUACUUAGAUCUGCGAUGCCUCAGCUAAUCACGGUGAGGUUGCUGUAGUUUGACGAGCACAUAAACAUGGGCCCUAAGGAUUCUUGUGGUGCAGAUUGGCUACAGUAGGUUUACUAUCGGAUUAGGGUUGCAUCAAGAUGGGAUCUAUCGACCUUGAUAGAUUAGGAAUGAUCCUAUGUGAUUUAUGAGACUAAGUUUGAAAGACCUUGGCCAGGGCAGUUUAAGAAAAAGAGUUUUCCAAUUUCGAACUUGAGUCAAAUAAAUUUGACAUAAGACAGACGAUAGGGUUUGACGAGUUAUCCAUAACCUCCGACAUGUCGGGAUCCAUGAUAGAGGUACUGUAUCAUACGCUAACUGCAUCUAGAGGUUCAUCCAUUCUGUUCUGCUGGGUUGUCACUAUAUGCUGCUAGGUGUCAUUAGUGGAUUGUGAGACUCGAAGGCAUGCACUUGGUGAUCAGUGAAUUCUAAGAGUAGAGUUGAAAUCAUUUCAACCCAUUGAAAGGAGUUUCGAUGAUAUUAUGAUAGAGAUCAUAAUAUAUCUCACUAUCAGUCAGAAUAGAGCCUACGGGGUCACACACAUUAGAGGUUUUGAUCGUUUCGAUGGUUGGAGAGCGAUUUAGGAUCGCAAUUGAUCUUGAUUUUCAAUUUAAUUAACAAUUAGAGUUAGUGAAUCAAAGAAGAAGGAUUUGCAAUUGGAUUGCAAUUUAAUUGGACCUAAUUAAAUUAGGCUUAACCUUAUUGGAUAAGGAUGGGAAGGCCUAAUUAAUUAGAACUCUUUAUUAGAUAAGGAACUUAAUUCAUGAAGUCCAAUUUGGAUCCUAAUUGGAUUAGGAUUCACAUAAAUCAAUUUGGAGGACACAUUGGGUUCUAAUUGGAUUAGAAUUCAAUUGAUCAAGUGGGACCAUGUAAUUUCUAAUUGGAUUAGGAGACUCA